UGGGAGCCUACCAUGCAAGUCGAGCGGAAACGAGUUAUCUGAACCUUCGGGGAACGAUAACGGCGUCGAGCGGCGGACGGGUGAGUAAUGCCUAGGAAAUUGCCCUGAUGUGGGGGAUAACCAUUGGAAACGAUGGCUAAUACCGCAUGAUGCCUACGGGCCAAAGAGGGGGACCUUCGGGCCUCUCGCGUCAGGAUAUGCCUAGGUGGGAUUAGCUAGUUGGUGAGGUAAGGGCUCACCAAGGCGACGAUCCCUAGCUGGUCUGAGAGGAUGAUCAGCCACACUGGAACUGAGACACGGUCCAGACUCCUACGGGAGGCAGCAGUGGGGAAUAUUGCACAAUGGGCGCAAGCCUGAUGCAGCCAUGCCGCGUGUGUGAAGAAGGCCUUCGGGUUGUAAAGCACUUUCAGUCGUGAGGAAGGUAGUGUAGUUAAUAGCUGCAUUAUUUGACGUUAGCGACAGAAGAAGCACCGGCUAACUCCGUGCCAGCAGCCGCGGUAAUACGGAGGGUGCGAGCGUUAAUCGGAAUUACUGGGCGUAAAGCGCAUGCAGGUGGUUUGUUAAGUCAGAUGUGAAAGCCCGGGGCUCAACCUCGGAAUAGCAUUUGAAACUGGCAGACUAGAGUACUGUAGAGGGGGGUAGAAUUUCAGGUGUAGCGGUGAAAUGCGUAGAGAUCUGAAGGAAUACCGGUGGCGAAGGCGGCCCCCUGGACAGAUACUGACACUCAGAUGCGAAAGCGUGGGGAGCAAACAGGAUUAGAUCCCU
This 765-nucleotide ribosomal RNA is filed under the name Vibrio sp. RNAcentral describes it as "bacterial SSU rRNA". It matches the Rfam family "Bacterial small subunit ribosomal RNA", at positions 43 to 788 of the family's 1533-position model. The record is from RNAcentral. Lineage: Bacteria; Pseudomonadati; Pseudomonadota; Gammaproteobacteria; Vibrionales; Vibrionaceae.